RNAcentral lists this ribosomal RNA (450 nucleotides) under uncultured bacterium. RNAcentral's name for it is "partial 16S ribosomal RNA". It matches the Rfam family "Bacterial small subunit ribosomal RNA", at positions 354 to 796 of the family's 1533-position model. The record is from RNAcentral.
GUGGGGAAUUUUGGACAAUGGGCGCAAGCCUGAUCCAGCAAUGCCGCGUGCAGGAAGAAGGCCUUCGGGUUGUAAACUGCUUUUGUACGGAACGAAACGGUCCUGGUUAAUACCUGGGGCUAAUGACGGUACCGUAAGAAUAAGCACCGGCUAACUACGUGCCAGCAGCCGCGGUAAUACGUAGGGUGCAAGCGUUAAUCGGAAUUACUGGGCGUAAAGCGUGCGCAGGCGGUUUUGUAAGACAGGCGUGAAAUCCCCGGGCUCAACCUGGGAAUUGCGCUUGUGACUGCAAGGCUGGAGUGCGGCGGAGGGGGAUGGAAUUCCGCGUGUAGCAGUGAAAUGCGUACAUAUGCGGAGGAACACCGAUGGCGAAGGCAAUCCCCUGGGCCUGCACUGACGCUCAUGCACCAAAGCGUGGGGAGCAAACAGGAUUAGAUACCCGUGUAGUCC